AACGCACAUUGCGCCCUUUGGCAUUCCGAAGGGCAUGCCUGUUCGAGCGUCAUUAUCACCCCUCAAGCCCUUCGGCUUGGUGUUGGACGGUUUGGUGAAUAUCUUUUACUUAUUUACCCCUCCCAAAGACAAUGACGGCGGCCUCGUUGGAUCCCCGGUACACUGAGUUCUUCACCGAACACGUAUUGGAUCAAGGAUUCACGGGCAACGGUCUGCCUCCCCUCAGGGAGAACUUUUAUCUAAGGUUGACCUCGGAUCAGGUAGGGAUACCCGCUGAACUUAA
Molecule: unclassified non-coding RNA, 283 nt
Filed under: uncultured Minimelanolocus
Lineage: Eukaryota; Fungi; Ascomycota; Eurotiomycetes; Chaetothyriales; Herpotrichiellaceae
Description: sequence contains ITS2
Source: RNAcentral